Molecule: ribosomal RNA, 88 nt
Filed under: Scrophularia atrata
Lineage: Eukaryota; Viridiplantae; Streptophyta; Magnoliopsida; Lamiales; Scrophulariaceae
Description: partial 18S ribosomal RNA
Rfam family: Eukaryotic small subunit ribosomal RNA
Source: RNAcentral
CUWKAAGUCCACUGAACCUYAUNAUUUAGAGGAAGGAGAAGUCGUAACAAGGUUUCCGUAGGUGAACCUGCGGAAGGAUCAUUGUCGA